UCCACUCUCUGUCUCGACCAGAGUACUCCUGCAAUCUGACGGUCCGACCAGAGUACCGAACGGCAUACGACUCUCUGUGUCUCCGCCUCACGCCAUCCGCCCUCAUCCAGUUGUCCUCUGUCCUCGCCUCCUCGGUCGCAAUCAACACUCGACACUCAGUCGUCCUCGGCCCUCAGCCCUCGACCCUCAACAGACAACAGUCAACAUUUCCUCAGUCCUCAAGUGUUGGAGAAGCUCUGAGCUCAUAUGGGAUUUGUUGAGUCCGGCGAUGAACUCCUUUCAUUGAAAAGUAUUGAGAGUAAAAACUGUAACUCUCAAAUGGCGCUAGUUCAACUAUUCACCAACGCCACUAGUAGCUGCCUCACCAUUAUUAUGAACAAGGCAUUUCAGAAUUAUUCCACAGCUCAUUUGCAGUGCACAGCGUUUGGAAGUAUAAGGAAAAUGGAGACACUGCAUCGGCAAGCAAGGAUAUGUUUGGAAGUAUCAGGAAAAUUGGUUCUUGCUUUUCAUAUAUUCUCAUUUGCUUAUUAAUGUAUAAAAUGUUAGUACAAGACUUGAAGCCAAAAGACAUAACCCUGGAAAUAGCUUUGAAGCUUUUGUCGAGUAAGGAAACUAAGAAUGCAAGAUCCAGGUAACGCAAGCGCCAAAUAAAGGGUGAAGAACAACAGGAAAAGGUUGUAGCUGUUAGGUAAUUUAGGCUCACGAUAUCAGAUACAAUGCUAUUUCUUGCAAGAUAGAGGACAUUCUUUAGGCCUGCGGCCUGCCUUUCUUUCACAGUAAUAGUUGUAAAGAGGAGAUUAUUUUGGAUCAUGAAGAGGAUGUUUGUAGUGGUAAAAUCCAUUAAAUGUAAGUAGCAGGUUACUCAUUUUUUGUAGAAACCUAUAAUUUUUCCAAGGAAAUCAAUAGAGCAUACAUAUUCUCCAA
Ipomoea nil (Japanese morning glory) is the source of this 924-nucleotide long non-coding RNA. RefSeq lists it as uncharacterized. Lineage: Eukaryota; Viridiplantae; Streptophyta; Magnoliopsida; Solanales; Convolvulaceae. The record is from RefSeq and is a predicted model, not a curated record. The transcript is spliced from 4 exons.